UUCCGAAAUAAAUCAUUGAUUUUAACUGGACUUUGUGUUAAGGGGAGGAACUUUUGCAAUUAAAUAUCCUAUCUAGAAUGAUUUACUUAGUAAUUCAUCUGCUAUAUAACAUGCUGUAGCUUCAGAAUUUCAUUUGAAAACUUGUAUAGACGAGCAUGUUUAAUAAGAUUGGCACAUGCCAGUUUCAAAGUAUUCAGGAUGGCUUUUGAAACUUAAGAACAUGAUUCACUGCAUAGGGAACACUACAACACGCUAGAAAGAAGGCUGAACUUAAGGGGAAGUACCUGGGAUGAUAUAGAAGGAGAGGGAGAUGUUGGAGCACAUCCUGAAGUCAGAAAGAAAAGAUUCAAAUUGAGAUUAUAAAAUUACCUUCUGGGUCUUGAUUGAAAGUGCAGCAACCUCUGAGGUGACAACACUGACAAUUGUGCGG
Molecule: non-coding RNA, 430 nt
Organism: Pseudonaja textilis
Lineage: Eukaryota; Metazoa; Chordata; Lepidosauria; Squamata; Elapidae
Source: RefSeq, a predicted model, not a curated record